GAUGAACGCUGGCGGCGUGCCUAGUACAUGCAAGUCGAGCGAACAGAUAAGGAGCUUGCUCCUUUGACGUUAGCGGCGGACGGGUGAGUAACACGUGGGUAACCUACCUAUAAGACUGGGAUAACUUCGGGAAACCGGAGCUAAUACCGGAUAACAUUUGGAACCGCAUGGUUCUAAAGUGAAAGAUGGUUUUGCUAUCACUUAUAGAUGGACCCGCGCCGUAUUAGCUAGUUGGUAAGGUAACGGCUUACCAAGGCGACGAUACGUAGCCGACCUGAGAGGGUGAUCGGCCACACUGGAACUGAGACACGGUCCAGACUCCUACGGGAGGCAGCAGUAGGGAAUCUUCCGCAAUGGGCGAAAGCCUGACGGAGCAACGCCGCGUGAGUGAUGAAGGGUUUCGGCUCGUAAAACUCUGUUAUUAGGGAAGAACAAACGUGUAAGUAACUGUGCACGUCUUGACGGUACCUAAUCAGAAAGCCACGGCUAACUACGUG
RNAcentral lists this ribosomal RNA (497 nucleotides) under uncultured bacterium. RNAcentral describes it as "partial 16S ribosomal RNA". It matches the Rfam family "Bacterial small subunit ribosomal RNA", at positions 28 to 507 of the family's 1533-position model. The record is from RNAcentral.